GACGAACGCUGGCGGCGUGCUUAACACAUGCAAGUCGAACGGAAAGGCCCUGCUUUUGUGGGGUGCUCGAGUGGCGAACGGGUGAGUAACACGUGAGUAACCUGCCCUUGACUUUGGGAUAACUUCAUGAAACUGGGGCUAAUACCGGAUAGGAGCUCCUGCUGCAUGGUGGGGGUUGGAAAGUUUCGGCGGUUGGGGAUAGACUCGCGGCUUGUCAGCUUGUUGGUGGGGUAGUGGCUUACCAAGGCUUUGACGGGUAGCUGGCCUGAGAGGGUGACCGGCCACAUUGGGACGGAGAUACGGCCCAGACUCCUACGGGAGGCAGCAGUGGAGAAUAUUGCACAAUGGGCGGAAGCCUGAUGCAGCAACGCCGCGUGCGGGAUGACGGCCUUCGGGUUGUAAACCGCUUUCGCCUGUGACGAAGCGUGAGUGACGGUAAUGGGUAAAGAAGCACCGGCUAACUACGUG
Molecule: ribosomal RNA, 468 nt
Filed under: uncultured bacterium
Lineage: Bacteria
Description: partial 16S ribosomal RNA
Rfam family: Bacterial small subunit ribosomal RNA
Source: RNAcentral